Molecule: long non-coding RNA, 110 nt
Organism: Pocillopora damicornis (cauliflower coral)
Lineage: Eukaryota; Metazoa; Cnidaria; Anthozoa; Scleractinia; Pocilloporidae
Source: RefSeq, a predicted model, not a curated record
AGGGAGAAGAUGGAGAAAGAGAGGUGCAAAGGGGAGACGGAAGAUCUCAGAAUUUAGGAGAAGUGAAGGAACAGCAGCCAGCAGAAAUUGAAACAAUGGAAUUCAGUCGU